AACGAACGCUGGCGGCAGGCCUAACACAUGCAAGUCGAGCGAGGACUUCGGUUCUAGCGGCGGACGGGUGAGUAACGCGUGGGAAUGUGCCCUUCUCUACGGAAUAGCCCUGGGAAACUGGGAGUAAUACCGUAUACGCCCUAUUGGGGAAAGAUUUAUCGGAGAAGGAUCAGCCCGCGUUGGAUUAGGUAGUUGGUGGGGUAAUGGCCUACCAAGCCGACGAUCCAUAGCUGGUUUGAGAGGAUGAUCAGCCACACUGGGACAGAGACACGGCCCAGACUCCUACGGGAAGCAGCAGUGGGGAAUCUUAGACAAUGGGGGCAACCCUGAUCUAGCCAUGCCGCGUGAGUGAUGAAGGCCUUAGGGUUGUAAAGCUCUUUCAGCUGGGAAGAUAAUGACGGUACCAGCAGAAGAAGCCCCGGCUAACUCCGUG
RNAcentral lists this ribosomal RNA (433 nucleotides) under uncultured bacterium. Its description in RNAcentral is "partial 16S ribosomal RNA". It matches the Rfam family "Bacterial small subunit ribosomal RNA", at positions 29 to 507 of the family's 1533-position model. The record is from RNAcentral.